UAAUUGAAGAGUUUGAUCAUGGCUCAGAUUGAACGCUGGCGGCAGGCCUAACACAUGCAAGUCGAGCGGCAGCGACAACAAAGAUUCUUCGGAUGAUUUGUUGGGCGGCGAGCGGCGGACGGGUGAGUAAUGGCUGGGAACCUGCCCUGACGUGGGGGAUAACAGUUGGAAACGACUGCUAAUACCGCAUGAUGUCUUUGGAC
RNAcentral lists this ribosomal RNA (203 nucleotides) under Enterovibrio calviensis FF-85. Its description in RNAcentral is "partial 16S ribosomal RNA". It matches the Rfam family "Bacterial small subunit ribosomal RNA", at positions 1 to 187 of the family's 1533-position model. Lineage: Bacteria; Pseudomonadati; Pseudomonadota; Gammaproteobacteria; Vibrionales; Vibrionaceae. The record is from RNAcentral.